This 257-nucleotide ribosomal RNA is filed under the name uncultured Glomus. Its description in RNAcentral is "partial 18S ribosomal RNA". It matches the Rfam family "Eukaryotic small subunit ribosomal RNA", at positions 624 to 886 of the family's 1831-position model. The record is from RNAcentral. Lineage: Eukaryota; Fungi; Glomeromycota; Glomeromycetes; Glomerales; Glomeraceae.
AAGCUCGUAGUUGAAUUUCGGGAUUAGUACGUCGGUCGUACCUUAGGUACGUACUGGUGUUACUGGUUCCUACCUUCUGACGAACCAUCAUGUCGUUAAUUUGGUGUGGUGGGGAAUCAGGACUGUUACUUUGAAAAAAUUAGAGUGUUUAAAGCAGGCUCGCGCUUGAAUACAUUAGCAUGGAAUAAUGAAAUAGGACGUUGAUCCUAUUUUAUUGGUUUCUAGGAUUGACGUAAUGAUUAAUAGGGAUAGUUGGG